GACGAACGCUGGCGGCGUGGAUAAGGCAUGCAAGUCGAACGCGAACGAGACAACUAAUUCGUUAGGCGUCUUUAGUAGAGUGGCGAACGGGUGAGUAACGCGUGAACAACAUACCUCUCAGAGGGGAAUAACAAAGGGAAACCUUUGCUAAUACCGCAUAAUUCAACUUAAUAAUUUUAUAUUGAUAAAAGGUGGGGACCUUCGGGCCUGCCGCUGAGAGAUUGGUUCGCGUCCCAUUAGCUUGUUGGUAGGGUAACGGCCUACCAAGGCGACGAUGGGUAGCCGGCCUGAGAGGGCGACCGGCCACACUGGGAUUGAGAUACGGCCCAGACUCCUUCGGGAGGCAGCAGUCGAGAAUCUUCCACAAUGGACGAAAGUCUGAUGGAGCGACGCCGCGUGAGGGAUUAAGGCUUUCUGAGUCGUAAACCUCUGUCAGAAGGGAAGAACAGUUUAAGUAUUAAUAGUACUUUAACC
This 474-nucleotide ribosomal RNA is filed under the name uncultured bacterium. RNAcentral's name for it is "bacterial SSU rRNA". It matches the Rfam family "Bacterial small subunit ribosomal RNA", at positions 28 to 479 of the family's 1533-position model. The record is from RNAcentral.